AGUGAACGCUGGCGGUAGGCCUAACACAUGCAAGUCGAACGGCAGCACAGUAAGAGCUUGCUCUUACGGGUGGCGAGUGGCGGACGGGUGAGGAAUACAUCGGAACCUACUUUUUCGUGGGGGAUAACGUAGGGAAACUUACGCUAAUACCGCAUACGACCUACGGGUGAAAGCAGGGGAUCUUCGGACCUUGCGCGAUUGAAUGGGCCGAUGUCGGAUUAGCUAGUUGGCGGGGUAAAGGCCCACCAAGGCGACGAUCCGUAGCUGGUCUGAGAGGAUGAUCAGCCACACUGGAACUGAGACACGGUCCAGACUCCUACGGGAGGCAGCAGUGGGGAAUAUUGGACAAUGGGCGCAAGCCUGAUCCAGCCAUACCGCGUGGGUGAAGAAGGCCUUCGGGUUGUAAAGCCCUUUUGUUGGGAAAGAAAAGCAGCAGGUUAAUACCCCGCUGUUCUGACGGUACCCAAAGAAUAAGCACCGGCUAACUUCGUG
This 492-nucleotide ribosomal RNA is filed under the name uncultured bacterium. RNAcentral describes it as "partial 16S ribosomal RNA". It matches the Rfam family "Bacterial small subunit ribosomal RNA", at positions 29 to 507 of the family's 1533-position model. The record is from RNAcentral.